GACGUAGGGCGUGAGCGUUGUCCGGAUUUAUUGGGCGUAAAGAGCUCGUAGGCGGUGUGUCGCGUCGGCCGUGAAAACCUGGGGCUCAACUCUGGGCGUGCGGUCGAUACGGGCAUCACUUGAGUUCGGCAGGGGAGACUGGAAUUCCUGGUGUAGCGGUGAAAUGCGCAGAUAUCAGGAGGAACACCGGUGGCGAAGGCGGGUCUCUGGGCCGAUACUGACGCUGAGGAGCGAAAGCAUGGGUAGCGAACAGG
RNAcentral lists this ribosomal RNA (254 nucleotides) under uncultured bacterium. RNAcentral describes it as "partial 16S ribosomal RNA". It matches the Rfam family "Bacterial small subunit ribosomal RNA", at positions 524 to 776 of the family's 1533-position model. The record is from RNAcentral.